UUUGCGUUGCGUUGCAGUUUAUUGAGCUCGAUCGAGAAGUGGGACGAAGAAGGCCGUUAAUAAUUCAACUACUUAAAGAAUGCGGGUUAGAUGUGGACGACUUCGAAGACAUUUGCAGUAGGCUAAACAGAGAAAGAGAGGGAGACCCAAAACUACUUGUCCUGGCAUCACAUUUGAGGAGGAGAUGAAGUCGGUGAAUAUGACCUAGCCCGGGGGAGUUUCCAGAAGACGGCCCAGAACCACUGGCCGCCAGGAGUGGAGGUCCUUUGUUGUUGCUCUACAUGUCAGGAGGCAUCGGGCAGUAGCCCUGGUAGAAGCACCAUCUUGAUACCAUCAUUCAAACUCUCAUCAGCUGUAUCAUUAUAGGUGGACUAAAAGAACAAUAUUAAUGCAGAUAUAAUGAUGCCUUAAGUUGAAAUGGAAGGUGUCCUGAAUCUGUAGGGACAGUGAUUUUCCGCGAUCGCGGAAAACGGACGGAAUUCACGGAAAGGGUGUUUUGAAACGGAAAGUGUCAUUUCAAACGGAAAAUCACGGAAAACGCAUUUUCCCUCAAAAUACACAGAAUAGCAACAGAAAUUACUCCAAAAUCACAACAAAAUGAGAAUAUUAAAUGGCCACAAAACACCAGAAAACACGAUCUCACUUCGCUACUUUCAUGACAAUUCACACAUCGUGACUGCACUCGACAUCAGCACACUUGAUUGUACCCCGCACCGUACCCGUACCCUGCCGGCGCCGGGUUGGGCUUCACAUGCACACACAUAUCGUUCAACUACACGGUUGUGUGUUGCUGCCCUCUACGUUUGAAGAUGUAACAGCACGAUAUCGUGGUCUUAAAAUCCAAGAUGGCGGAUUGGCAAAAGCCGUUGACUGAUGAUAACGAUGUCCAAAAAACCCCAAAAUUAUCGAUGAAAUAUCAUCUACCGUGAAAUAAUGCUAAUAAUGUGAAAGGUGAGGAUGUAUGCAUGCUAAAUGGGGUUGGAAAAAUAUUUUAUGCACCCGCAUAGAUCCGAUUAGAACGGAUUCUAUUGUGUUGUUGGUACAGUAGCAGAUACAAAUUUUGACCAGUGCGAGUGUUGUGAUUUUGCUAUUCAAUGUGUAAACGGAAUUGUCACUUUUCCGUGUGUACAAAGUCUAUGGGGGAAACGGAAUUUCCGUUUUCUGACAUGCUGAAACGGAAUUUGAGAUUUUCUGAAACGGAAAAGGCAAUUUUUUUAAACGGAAAAUCACUGUCCCUAAAUCUGCACCCAUUCAUCUGGUUUCGUAACUCCUUUCAUAGUGCUAUUGGAACCUGCUCCCUACCAGUAUAACAUCAAACAGAUUGGAAGAAUAAAGGCCAAUGGGAAGUGCCUUUUAUAUUUCUACUUGCCACAAAGCAGUCCAUGGUUUAGCGCUAUCUAAACUGGACUAUUGUAAUGCUCUUCGUGCUUGAAUUAGGGCGAUCUGGACUGACUGCAUAUAGUACAGAAUGCUGCAUCUAUUGUGCCAUUUGCCAUACGCCAACUUCGCUGGCUGCAAGUCAAGGAAAGGAUAUACAUGAACAUCAGUGUCCGUCUCCUGAUUUUCAAAGUCAUUGACAGAGAUCCAGAUUACAUGUUUUAUAAGGAAUCCCUUGUGCGUCAUUUUCAUUCUAGGCGCACUUGCCUUUUUAUUUUUGUGAUCAUUACGCACCUACGAAUUAGCUACUGGUGAUGCAACUUUCUCCACUACUGCUCCAAGGCCGUGGAAUUAGCUCCUUCCUCUCCUCCAGUUGUCAACAACCUUGGAUCAAUCCAAAUACAAUUUGAGAAGACCUACCAUCCUGAUCUUUGCUCUGUACUUACAACAAUACUGUCACUGUCUGGUAAUUUGAAUUUUUUAAAUCUCAUGCGCUUUGUAUCUCGCAAAAUAACGUGUUGUGUAAAAGCGAACAUGCAUUGAGGUCAAGUUUAAGGGUAACCAUGGAUAUUGCCUUUUAUUACUUUUUAACAAAACUGAAAAAUUCAUCCAAAUUAGACAAGGGAUAAUAAAGUAAUGUAUGACAUUCUAACCUCUGCAUUAUUUUGGUGAAAGAGCUCUAAGCAUAUAUGCAAGUAGCAAGCUGAUGAUGUCAUACUGACGUACAUUGUACAUGUACACGUAUCCCCAACUUAUUAUUUUGUAUAUAAAAUUGUGCAUUUAAUUUUGUUUACCAAGAAUGAAACAAAUCGGAUUGUAAACUGUAUUGAUGUGACUUACCUGUAUUGAUUAUUGCUGGAAGUUCUUUUGCUACAUGGGAUUGGAAGACAUACUUAUUACACACAUGAAGUAAAUUAUUAUUUUAUCUGGUAACAUGAGAACAAUAAAAGUGUGGGCAUAAUAUCAUAAACUUACAUGUAUCUACUUGCAUGUGUUGAUGACCAAUAUUUUUGUAAUUAUUUUUUUUUAAAUUUUAUCUGAUUUUGAUAAAAUUUUCACUAUUUUGCAUGGUAAAAAUUACUUUAUUUUAGAUAAUGUUGAGCCCGUAUCAUAUACAAGUACAACUUUAAAGAUAAAUUACCAGUUGUAGUAACAAUCUUAAAAUGAGUUCGAACAGAAUCCAAUAGAAUUACCAGCAAAAUAUAAAAGACAUGUGCCAUAAUUAAUUAUAGCUCGGGAAGAAAAUGUGUAAUUGCUGAGAAAUGAGCAAAAUAAGCAUGUAAUUCUAUCCAAUGUCAGGUAUUUUUCAAAUCAAUCAUAAUACACUGUCCUGUCCCACAUGUUCUUUUCUGUGUUAGUGAUCAUCAAAAUAAUUAAUUUUAAGUUCAAAAUUAGUGAUUUUACAAAAAUACAAGCGUACAUUAAUGUACCAGAUCUAGAGAUUAUGUACAAUAUUUUGACAAUUUCUCAUGAAAUAAUUGUUUGCUGCAACUGCUGUCUUUUUAAUACGUUUAAGUGAUAGUGUAAUACAACCACAAACUUUUCUUAAGAAUGAAUGUAUAUGUAUGAUUCUUUCACCCAAAUUUACAUGCAUUGAUACUGUUGACUACUUGCCAAAAGUUCCUGCCAAAAGCCUUUUUUAACGAUGUACAUGCUUUUAUAGACGACCUGCCAAAACAUUGUAUUGUAUUAUAUUCAAGGUCCAACCAAAAAGAGAUGAAUAAAAUGUUUGAAGGAAAUUGAAAUUAACUUUAAAAAUGAUAGAGCUCUGUCAAUGCAGUAUUAUUACAGGGUUCCCACAGUCAUGGAAAAUCCUGGAAAAAAAUUGGUCAUGGAAAGUCAGGGAUAUGUGAAAAGUCAUGGAAUUGCAUUUACCUCUUGGCUAUGACAGCUUUCUAGUUUUUUAUGUCUCACAACUCUCAUACUCUGUGAUUGUACUCUACUAUUAUAAUUGGUGUUCAUGAUCAUAACAUGUCUGAUUUUGUAAACUGUGCCAGAAAGGAAUUAAGUCAUGGAAAGCAGCAAUUUAGUCAUGGAGAGGUCAUGGAAUUCUGUUUUCAAAUUUCUGUGGGAACCAUGAAUAGGUUUGUGCACUUGACACAGUGUGCACUACAGAUGAACUUUGUAAUGCCAUGAUAUAAACCAGUACAAUAUCUUAAAGGAAAAUAAAACCCAAAAUAUAAUACCACAUGAUACCAUUGAUAAAUACAGGACAAUGAAAAUGAAUCCACUCAUAUACCCCCAAUCCGAUGUCCCAGUAUGGAGUACCACCUUUUCAAAGUUGGCAUCUUCUGGUACAAAGUCUAUGGAUGGGGAUUAUUCCGUCAGCGACGAACUACAUCUCUAAACGUUUGGGCAUUAUAUAUUCUAUUUCAUCGAUAAUAAAUCAAAUGUACAGAUAAAACUCAUAAAAUAUUAAUUAAAAUUUGUUUAAUAUUAUAUGAUAGGUUCAAAUUACGACUUGAUGAGUUUUAAUGAUAAAAAUUACACCCUAAUCUACGAUUUACAAAUUGGCAGCGGAAAUUGGGGUGUAAAUCUUAUCAUUAAAACUCAUCAAAUUGUAUUUUGAACCUACCAUAUAUUAAACAAAUUUUAACUAAUAUUUUUAUGAGUUUUAUCUGUACAUUUGAUUUGUUAUUGAUAAAAUAGAAUAUAUAAUGCCUAAACGUUUAGAGAUGUAGUUCGUCGCUGAUGUAAUAAUUUCCUAACUAACCCCGCGAAAAUGGCGACCUCCAUCCAGAAACUUCGAACCAUACUGUAAGAGGCCAACUUUGAAAAGGUGGUACUCCGUAAUUGGAUUAGGGUAUGAGUGGAUUCAUGUUGAUUGUCCUGUAUUUAUCAAUAAUAUCAUGUGGUAUUAUGUUUUGGGUGUUAUUUUCCUUUAAUUCAGAUAUUACAUGCCAGGGUAUUGUCCUAGUUUUCAUUUUCUCCAAAUACAUAUUAUCAUCUCUCGUCUAUUUCUACUUGCCCUUCAGCCUUGAAGUAAACUUGGGAUAAUUAUGCAUUUUGUUAUACGCAAUUUUGAGUACAGUGCACUUUGCCGCAGCUACUUAUAUGAUAUUACCUAUUGUAGACACAUCCUUAUGUUUUGUUCAUUUUCUUAAAAACGAUUAAGAGUUUAAUAAUUUUUGUCUUUAAGCAUAAAACAAAGAGUAAAUCAGUCCAUUCUGUAUGUGUGACCUGCAAAAAAACUACAAUGGUCGUUAAUUUGGUUUGCUGAAAAGCCAGAUAACCUUUGAGGUAACUUUUUAAAGUAUUUAGAAGAAAUGUAUCUUUUUUAAAAGUAUUUAUAUGCACUGUAACUAAUUUCUUUGAUAGUUACUAUUAUGUUACACUGUUUGUACAGUAAAGCAGCUGUUACACAAUUUUUGUCAAUAGCAAAUCUAAACCAGUAUUGUAAAUUGAUGACUCUAUGAGCUAAAUACCAGUACUUUCUAUAUCA
Molecule: long non-coding RNA, 4819 nt
Organism: Lytechinus pictus (painted urchin)
Lineage: Eukaryota; Metazoa; Echinodermata; Echinoidea; Temnopleuroida; Toxopneustidae
Exons: 4
Source: RefSeq, a predicted model, not a curated record